GUGCCAGCAGCCGCGGUAAUUCCAGCUCCAAUAGCGAAUAUUAAAGUUGUUGUGGUUAAAAAGCUCGUAGUUGAACCUUGAGCCUGGAUGGCCGGGCCGCCUCACCGCGUGCACUGGUCCGGCCGGGCCUUUCCCUCUGUGGAACCCCAUACCCUUCACUGGGCGUGGGGGGGAAACAGGACAUUUACUUUGAAAAAAUUAGAGUGCUCCAGGCAGGCCUAUGCUCGAAUACAUUAGCAUGGAAUAAUAAAAUAGGACGCGCGGUUCUAUUUUGUUGGUUUAUAGGACCGCCGUAAUGAUUAAUAGGGACAGUCGGGGGCAUCAGUAUUCAACUGUCAGAGGUGAAAUUCUUGGAUCAGUUGAAGACUAACUACUGCGAAAGCAUUUGCCAAGGAUGUUUUCAGUAAUCAGGAACGAAAGUUAGGGGAUCGAAGACGAUCAGAUACCGUCGUAGUCUUAACCAUAAACUAUGCCGACUAGGGGAUCGGACGGUGUUAUUCAUGACUCGUUCGGCACCUUACGAGAACUCACAGUGCUUGGGCUCCAGGGGGAGUAUGGUCGCAAGGCUGAAACUUAAAGAAAUUGACGGAAGGGCACCACCAGGGUGGAGCCUGCGCUUAAUUUGACUCAACACGGGCAAACUCACCACGUCAGACACAAUAAGGAUUGACAGAUUGAGAGCUCUUUCUUGAUUUGUGGGUGGUGGUGCAUCGCCGAUCCUAGAUGUGGGGUGACUUGUCUGCUUAAUUGGCGAUAACGAACGACACCAUUAACCUGCUAAAUAGCCCGCAUUGCUCCCGCCAGUGCGCUGGCCUCC
RNAcentral lists this ribosomal RNA (817 nucleotides) under uncultured fungus. RNAcentral's name for it is "SSU rRNA". It matches the Rfam family "Eukaryotic small subunit ribosomal RNA", at positions 564 to 1390 of the family's 1831-position model. Lineage: Eukaryota; Fungi. The record is from RNAcentral.